This 2227-nucleotide long non-coding RNA is filed under the name Callithrix jacchus (white-tufted-ear marmoset). Its description in RNAcentral is "lncRNA (ENSCJAG00000069201.2)". Lineage: Eukaryota; Metazoa; Chordata; Mammalia; Primates; Cebidae. The record is from RNAcentral.
CCCAGGAGGCGCGGCCGCGGCCGUAGGAGCGGGCUGCGGAACAAAGAACUUCGAGCGGGACGUACCUGCGGCGGCAGCGGCUGUCAAGUCCCUGAACUUCCCAUAGACCCGCGGACUGGGCGCGGGCGGGCGGCUCCGGGCUCCGCGCGGCCGCGGGCGGCUCGGGCUACCGCGAGCGGCGGGGCUGGGCGCGGGGUGCGCCCGCCGCGGGCAUGGUGCGGCGCGGGUGGCCGCGGGGCGCGCGGGGAAGGCGGGAGAGCGGCGCGGGCGAGUGGGAGCGGCGGGUGUGCGCGAGUGCGAGUGUGCGAGCGCGCCGGUGGCGCUGCCCCUGCCCGCUCCCUCCCGCUCGUGCAGCUCCGGCAUCAGUUUCGGGGAUCGUGUAAUCCGAUCCCUUCUGACUCACAGGCCCUGAGUGACAGUUCUGAUUUGGUUCAACUGCGGGAGGGAGGGGAAAGAGAAAGAAAGAAACCCCCAGCCGUACGCCUCUCCUGGCAUCCAAUCGAGUUUCUGGAAAAAGGUCCCAUCCCAGCCUGGAACCCCGCGCUGGGUGGAGAAGCCCCCAGGCCCGACCCCGCGCCGCCUGCGCUACUCACGGGGUGGAAAAGUUGUCCCUCGGCUCCGCGCUCCCCUCCCGCGCGCUCCCUCCUUCCCUCCUCUCCUCCUCUUCCUCCUCCUCCCCGUGCUCCUCCUCCCCCAAGUUUUAACAGAUGUUGCCGGACUCUCCCCACUCCCUCGCACUCCCUCUUCCUCCGCCCUCACCCCCGCCCCGUCCCUUUUCUUUCAGCCACUCUCUGGCUGAGAGGACGCGCUGAGCAGCAGGACGCCUGCCGCCGCAGGGGGCGAAGUUGGGAAAACUUGGAGUGCUGCUCGCCUUACUUUUGCUUUCUCGCUCCUUCCAGGCCGUGCCGGGGGCCCGCGCUUCUCCCGCCCGCCAGGUCCCCAAGCCCGAAGGCCGGUGCUAGUAAGUUAUGUUGCCUCCUUCCUCCAGCAGCCAGUCCAUGUUCAUGUGCGUCCCUUCGGUGUAUCCAACCUGGACCUGUAAUUUAAAAGAGGAGUUCUCAGGGGGAAACAAAGGAAGAAAAAGAAAGAAAGAAAAGAAAGCCCCUGUGACAUUCCAACUUCCCCUCCUCAUGGGUAAGCCGGGUCCACCCACCCACCCGGCCAGAAGCGCCCCGGAGCUCCCGGUGGCUUGUGUGGCGUCGCCGCCAAGUGUCUUGACUGAAGAAGAGAGUGGGUGGAUGAAUGAUGAGCUGUUAGGAUUUGAAGAGCAUUUUGAGAUUCAAAUGCUUAGCUAAAGAAUCUUUUAACGAAAUUGAUGGUGAUAUUCACUGUUUGUUUCUUGGGACUCCUUCCUUGUCACAAUGACGUGACGAAUGCAGAGAAAGACUUAAGGUUUUAUGGUGGAAGUGGUAAAGGUAGGGGCUAAAGGCCCUUGUUAGCCGUUUGUUUUAAGGUUUCCCUCAACCUCACCCCUCAGGAAAAAACAAAACACCACUGACUCAUCGCAGAGAGCAUGAGUCUCAGAAGGCUUGUGGCAGCCCCAUCUCCGUGCUCACUAACUGGCUUCAGGCCUGGGAGGAUUCUCUGAGCCUCCAUAGGCUCUGAGCCCAUCUGGGGAAUAGUGUUAGGAGUGCCAGGUCGCUUACCUCCCAGGAUGGCUGAGGGUUUCCAAUGAGAAAUACAUGGAAAAGUAUAGAGGGAUACAAGUGUGUAAGAAUUAUGCUUUUACAAUUGAAGAGAGUUGCAAGCACCUUUCCUUUAUAUACUCCCAGCAUCAGUCACAAUUGUUUUUAGUAUUCAUGUACUGCUUCUGCCUCUAUCACAUGAAUACAAAUAGUACGUCCUGAUGGCCUCUCUGUUCACCCAAUGGCAAAAAAUAAAAUAAAAAGGACAGCCAAUAAAUCAACAAAUAGAAUAAACUAGAUAUUUUUACUCUUACUUCAAACAGUCUUCUAGCACAUUUUGAAUCAUGAAGAUCUUGAUUUUUCAGUUCUUAAAAGACAAGAACAAAGCAAAAGCCGCUAAUCUUUCCCCCUAUGCCCAUCACAAUAGCUAAACACAAAAGAGGAAGAAUAAUGCUGUGUCUCUUGUGUCCAACUCUGCUUUAAUGGUAGACAUCUAUAUAUAUAUAUAUAUAUAUAUAUAUAUAUAUAUAUAUAUAUAUAGAGAGAGAGAGAGAGAGAGAGAGAGAGAGAGAGAGAGAGAGGCACAUUUUGCAGAAACAGCG